RNAcentral lists this ribosomal RNA (500 nucleotides) under Leiogalathea pallas. RNAcentral's name for it is "partial 16S large subunit ribosomal RNA". It matches the Rfam family "Bacterial large subunit ribosomal RNA", at positions 1831 to 2597 of the family's 2925-position model. Lineage: Eukaryota; Metazoa; Arthropoda; Malacostraca; Decapoda; Munidopsidae. The record is from RNAcentral.
GUCUGUGUGAAGUUAUACAGAGUCUAACCUGCCCAAUGAAUUUUAUUUUAAAGGCCGCAGUAAUUUGACUGUGCAAAGGUAGCAUAAUAAUUAGUUUUUUAAUUGAAGGCUUGUAUGAAUGGUUGGACAAAGAAAAAUCUGUCUUUUAUAUUAUCUUUGAACUUUACAUUUAAGUGAAAAGGCUUAAAUAAAAUUAAGGGACGAUAAGACCCUAUAAAUCUUUAUAUUGAAUAAAAUUUUUUUAUAAUUUUAUAAAAUUUAAUGAUGUUAUGUUGGGGCAACAAAAAUAUAAAAGAUAACUGUUUUAUAAAAAACACAUUUAUAUAUGUAAAUAUAAAAGAUCCUUUAAAAAGAUUAAAAGUUUAAGUUACUUUAGGGAUAACAGCGUUAUUUUUUUUGAAAGUUCCCAUUGAAAAAAAAGUUUGCGACCUCGAUGUUGAAUUAAAAUUUCUUUAUAGUGCAGUAGUAUAAAAGAGAGUCUGUUCGACUUUUAAAAUUUU